AGGGGCUUAGGAUAUAAAGAGACCAAGGGUUUUCAAAACCCUAAGCGGGAGUUAAAAUCUCCCAGCCCCUG
This 71-nucleotide transfer RNA is filed under the name Cryptopsaras couesii (triplewart seadevil). Its description in RNAcentral is "tRNA-Trp". It matches the Rfam family "tRNA". Rfam says of the family: Transfer RNA (tRNA) molecules are approximately 80 nucleotides in length. Their secondary structure includes four short double-helical elements and three loops (D, anti-codon, and T loops). Further hydrogen bonds mediate the characteristic L-shaped molecular structure. tRNAs have two regions of fundamental functional importance: the anti-codon, which is responsible for specific mRNA codon recognition, and the 3' end, to which the tRNAs corresponding amino acid is attached (by aminoacyl-tRNA synthetases). tRNAs cope with the degeneracy of the genetic code in two manners: having more than one tRNA (with a specific anti-codon) for a particular amino acid; and 'wobble' base-pairing, i.e. permitting non-standard base-pairing at the 3rd anti-codon position. The record is from RNAcentral. Lineage: Eukaryota; Metazoa; Chordata; Actinopteri; Lophiiformes; Ceratiidae.